RNAcentral lists this RNase P RNA (284 nucleotides) under Defluviicoccus sp. Its description in RNAcentral is "partial RNase P RNA component class A". It matches the Rfam family "Bacterial RNase P class A", at positions 108 to 367 of the family's 367-position model. Rfam says of the family: Ribonuclease P (RNase P) is a ubiquitous endoribonuclease, found in archaea, bacteria and eukarya as well as chloroplasts and mitochondria. Its best characterised activity is the generation of mature 5'-ends of tRNAs by cleaving the 5'-leader elements of precursor-tRNAs. Lineage: Bacteria; Pseudomonadati; Pseudomonadota; Alphaproteobacteria; Rhodospirillales; Rhodospirillaceae. The record is from RNAcentral.
AGUGCCACAGAGAGGAGACCGCCGGCCGGGACGUUCGCGUCCGCCGGCAAGGGUGAAAGGGUGCGGUAAGAGCGCACCGCGCUGCCGGUAACGGCAACGGCACGGUAAACCCCACCGGGAGCAAGACCAAGUAGGGACGACAGGCCGCUUGAGCGGCCGGGCUUUGUUUUCGCGCCGUCGUCCGGGUCGGUCGCGUGAGGCGUCCGGUAACGGGCGUCCCAGAUGAAUGGUCAUCCCCCGCUUUGCGGCGGGGACAGAACCCGGCUUACAGGUCGUCUGGCAUU